GCUGGCAAAUUAGUGUAAGCUUCAGGAAGCUAGUGGAGGACUCCAAAGGGAUCGCAUUGAUCUCAUCAGCUGCAUCCAAGCAUGAAUCAACGGAUGGAUGGAUCGAUGCAUAUGCAAGAUCAGUGCAAUCCCUUUGGAAUUCUCGACUCGCCUCUGCCUCGGUCGGUCACGCGC
This is a non-coding RNA of Brachypodium distachyon (stiff brome), 174 nucleotides long. RefSeq annotates it as microRNA MIR393b. The transcript has a single exon. The record is from RefSeq and is marked provisional. Lineage: Eukaryota; Viridiplantae; Streptophyta; Magnoliopsida; Poales; Poaceae.